Molecule: ribosomal RNA, 497 nt
Filed under: uncultured bacterium
Lineage: Bacteria
Description: partial 16S ribosomal RNA
Rfam family: Bacterial small subunit ribosomal RNA
Source: RNAcentral
GACGAACGCUGGCGGCGUGCCUAAUACAUGCAAGUUGAGCGCUGAAGGUUGGUACUUGUACCAACUGGAUGAGCAGCGAACGGGUGAGUAACGCGUGGGUAAUCUGCCUUUGAGCGGGGGACAACAUUUGGAAACGAAUGCUAAUACCGCAUAAAAUCUUUAAACACAAGUUUUAAGUUUGAAAGAUGCAAUUGCAUCACUCAAAGAUGAUCCCGCGUUGUAUUAGCUAGUUGGUGAGGUAAAGGCUCACCAAGGCGAUGAUACAUAGCCGACCUGAGAGGGUGAUAGGCCACAUUGGGACUGAGACACGGCCCAAACUCCUACGGGAGGCAGCAGGAGGGAAUCUUCGGCAAUGGACGAAAGUCUGACCGAGCAACGCCGCGGGAGGGAAGAAGGUUUUCGGAUCGUAAAACUAUGUUGGUAGAGAAGAACGAUAGUGAGAGUGGAAAGCUCAUCAAGUGACGGUAACUACCCAGAAAGGGACGGCUAACUACGUG